This 377-nucleotide ribosomal RNA is filed under the name uncultured bacterium. Its description in RNAcentral is "bacterial SSU rRNA". It matches the Rfam family "Bacterial small subunit ribosomal RNA", at positions 796 to 1165 of the family's 1533-position model. The record is from RNAcentral.
CACGCUGUAAACGAUGUCUACUAGGUUGUGGCGGUUCUGACGCCGGCACAGCCGAAGCAAAAGUGUUAAGUAGACCGCCUGGGGAGUACGGUCGCAAGGCUAAAACUCAAAGGAAUUGACGGGGGCUCACACAAGCGGUGGAGCAUGUGGAUCAAUUCGAAGCAACGCGCAGAACCUUACCUGGGUUUGACAUGCUUGGAUGCCUUCCUGGAAACAGGGUAGGUUGCCCUUCGGGGUGAACUUGCACAGGUGCUGCAUGGCUGUCGUCAGCUCGUGUCGUGAGAUGUCGGGUUAAGUCCCAUAACGAGCGAAACCCUUGCCGUUAGUUGCCAGCGGGUCAUGCCGGGGACUCUAACGGGACUGCCGGUGUUAAACCG